GCCAGCAACUGGAGGUCCAAUUUAACAAGCAGGCGGAGAAGUAGGGAGAACCAAGGAGAACGAGGAGCAGAGAGGAGGUCUGCAGGGAAAGAGGAUCAGAACUACUCCAGAGAUAAGGAGAGACCUGGUGAUCAGCGCAAAGUGGAGAAAGAAGCUGAGGAGAAGAAAGAAAGCCAGCAGACAGUAGGAGCAGAAAAGACAACCAGUCACAGCUUCCGUCCUUUUCCUCCUCCUCAUUUGGGCUCAGAGGAUCGCGUGUCCUUCCUGACUCCACCCCCUUUUCCUCCUCCUCCUCCCUCGUGGAUGUUUGGUGGGAAAGAGUCUGAUGGCUCUCCUGGCACUGAUUCCACAUCCAGCAUGUUGAUGUUGUGGUACAUGUGCGGCUUCCACACGGGCAGCUUCAUGGCUCAGCAGAUGUUCAAGCCGGCCUCCAGAGACUGAGAGUCGAGAGAAUCAAGGGACAAGAUGCAGUUGGGAUGUUCAUCUUUCAUUCACAGCUCACGUUCAUUUGUAUUCUGAUUAUUGUUUGUAUUUCUACAAGUAUCUUAUUUGUUCUUAGCUGAAUGUUGUCAUGGAAACUGUGCACGUAGUGCAAUUUUUGUUGUUGUUUAUUUUUUUUGAAGCGAAUAUGAAGUGUUUGUUUCAAAGUUGCAGCUGUUGACAAAUUAAAUCAGAUUAUUUGGAGAAAAGAGUGUUUUGUUAUUAAAAAGAAAGCUGGAUUACCUCUGA
Haplochromis burtoni (Burton's mouthbrooder) is the source of this 729-nucleotide long non-coding RNA. RefSeq annotates it as survival motor neuron protein. The record is from RefSeq and is a predicted model, not a curated record. NCBI's taxonomy places the organism in Eukaryota, Metazoa, Chordata, Actinopteri, Cichliformes, Cichlidae.